Molecule: ribosomal RNA, 771 nt
Filed under: uncultured Streptomyces sp.
Lineage: Bacteria; Bacillati; Actinomycetota; Actinomycetes; Kitasatosporales; Streptomycetaceae
Description: bacterial SSU rRNA
Rfam family: Bacterial small subunit ribosomal RNA
Source: RNAcentral
AGAGUUUGAUCCUGGCUCAGGACGAACGCUGGCGGCGUGCUUAACACAUGCAAGUCGAACGAUGAAGCCCUUCGGGGUGGAUUAGUGGCGAACGGGUGAGUAACACGUGGGCAAUCUGCCCUGCACUCUGGGACAAGCCCUGGAAACGGGGUCUAAUACCGGAUAACACUCUCACGGGCAUCUGUGAGGGUUGAAAGCUCCGGCGGUGCAGGAUGAGCCCGCGGCCUAUCAGCUUGUUGGUGAGGUAGUGGCUCACCAAGGCGACGACGGGUAGCCGGCCUGAGAGGGCGACCGGCCACACUGGGACUGAGACACGGCCCAGACUCCUACGGGAGGCAGCAGUGGGGAAUAUUGCACAAUGGGCGAAAGCCUGAUGCAGCGACGCCGCGUGAGGGAUGACGGCCUUCGGGUUGUAAACCUCUUUCAGCAGGGAAGAAGCGAAAGUGACGGUACCUGCAGAAGAAGCGCCGGCUAACUACGUGCCAGCAGCCGCGGUAAUACGUAGGGCGCAAGCGUUGUCCGGAAUUAUUGGGCGUAAAGAGCUCGUAGGCGGUCUGUCGCGUCGGAUGUGAAAGCCCGGGGCUUAACCCCGGGUCUGCAUUCGAUACGGGCAGACUAGAGUGUGGUAGGGGAGAUCGGAAUUCCUGGUGUAGCGGUGAAAUGCGCAGAUAUCAGGAGGAACACCGGUGGCGAAGGCGGAUCUCUGGGCCAUUACUGACGCUGAGGAGCGAAAGCGUGGGGAGCGAACAGGAUUAGAUACCCUGGUAGUCC